CUCCUACCCCUCCUGUCCCCUUUAUCACCCAUGUGUAACAAAAGCGCACAGCAAGUUGGCCAUGACAGAAGGCAUUGUGCACCAAACUCCACCCUCACCCUCAGCAUGACUCAGCAUGCUUGCGCAAGCCACAGCAGGCUACAGAGAAAAAAAGCUGCACACAAAAAGCAACUCAUGUGCAUGCUCCCUUGCACCUGUGCCUGUGUUGUUGCCGCCAGCACGGUCAUCGCUCCCGCGCCUUUCGUCUUGUUUGUUGCCUGUGUGUGCCAAAAGCGCACAGGAAGUUGACCAUGACAGAAGACAGUCACAACAAACUCUGCUCUGCCCUCACUCUCAGCAUGACCCAAGCAAGCCACAGCAGGCAACAGAAAAAAAAGCUGCACGCAAAAGGCACACCAGGUAACAAGUAGGGAACCUCAUUUAUUUCCUUUUGGGAGAAGCUUCUCACGUGUGCGUCGCAACUCCUAACUACGUGGUACAGGACAACACUUUGCCUUAGGGCCAGCGAGCCAUGCUUGCCCUUAGGCGUGGGUGGCCCCUAUGGGGCAUCGUUCCCAUGCUUCCUCCUCCCAUCACCUGUAUGGAAUAAAAAGAAGGCAAAGUAAUGAGCCAAUCCUUAAAUUCCUAAAANN
This 632-nucleotide long non-coding RNA is filed under the name Dunaliella salina. RNAcentral describes it as "long non-coding RNA (DSAL_LNC000277)". Lineage: Eukaryota; Viridiplantae; Chlorophyta; Chlorophyceae; Chlamydomonadales; Dunaliellaceae. The record is from RNAcentral.